UGUUGCGAUCAUACCAGCACUAAUGCACCGGAUCCCAUCAGAACUCCGCAGUUAAGCGUGCUUGGGUGGAAGUAGUACUAGGAUGGGUGACCCCCUGGGAGACGGCCACUCGGAUGCUACGC
RNAcentral lists this ribosomal RNA (122 nucleotides) under Helianthus annuus (common sunflower). Lineage: Eukaryota; Viridiplantae; Streptophyta; Magnoliopsida; Asterales; Asteraceae. The record is from RNAcentral.